GAUGAACGCUGGCGGCGUGCUUAACACAUGCAAGUCGAACGAUGAAGCCCAGCUUGCUGGGUGGAUUAGUGGCGAACGGGUGAGUAACACGUGAGCAACCUGCCCCUGACUCUGGGAUAAGCGCUGGAAACGGCGUCUAAUACUGGAUAUGUCCCGUCACCGCAUGGUGUGCGGGUGGAAAGAUUUUUCGGUUGGGGAUGGGCUCGCGGCCUAUCAGCUUGUUGGUGAGGUAAUGGCUCACCAAGGCGUCGACGGGUAGCCGGCCUGAGAGGGUGACCGACCACACUGGGACUGAGACACGGCCCAGACUCCUACGGGAGGCAGCAGUGGGGAAUAUUGCACAAUGGGCGGAAGCCUGAUGCAGCAACGCCGCGUGAGGGAUGACGGCCUUCGGGUUGUAAACCUCUUUUAGCAGGGAAGAAGCGAAAGUGACGGUACCUGCAGAAAAAGCACCGGCUAACUACGUG
This 467-nucleotide ribosomal RNA is filed under the name uncultured bacterium. RNAcentral describes it as "partial 16S ribosomal RNA". It matches the Rfam family "Bacterial small subunit ribosomal RNA", at positions 28 to 507 of the family's 1533-position model. The record is from RNAcentral.